UACAGAGGGUGCGAGCGUUGUUCGGAAUUAUUGGGCGUAAAGGGCGCGCAGGCGGCUCUGAAAGUCAGAUGUGAAAGCCCCGGGCUUAACCUGGGAAUUGCAUUUGAUACUCUGGAGCUUGAGUACGGGAGAGGAGAGUGGAAUUCCCAGUGUAGAGGUGAAAUUCGUAGAUAUUGGGAAGAACACCGGUGGCGAAGGCGGCUCUCUGGACCGUAACUGACGCUGAGGCGCGAAAGCGUGGGGAGCAAACAGG
This 253-nucleotide ribosomal RNA is filed under the name uncultured bacterium. RNAcentral describes it as "partial 16S ribosomal RNA". It matches the Rfam family "Bacterial small subunit ribosomal RNA", at positions 524 to 776 of the family's 1533-position model. The record is from RNAcentral.